Molecule: long non-coding RNA, 2348 nt
Organism: Hemicordylus capensis (graceful crag lizard)
Lineage: Eukaryota; Metazoa; Chordata; Lepidosauria; Squamata; Cordylidae
Exons: 3
Source: RefSeq, a predicted model, not a curated record
CUCAGCUGCAUCAAGUGAUGAAUAUCAAGUGUUCCAGAUGGUGUUGCUUGGAGAUUGUUGCUCUUCAAAAGAAAAGCUAUUGUUGGGGGUUCCGCAGGACUCCAUUCAAUCUCCAAUGCUCUUUAACAUCUACAUGAAAGUGCGGGGAGAGAUCAUGGGGGAUUUGGUGCAGGGUGUUAUCCAUAUGCUGCUGAUAACCCAAUCUAUUUCUCCAUGUCAACUUCAUUAGGAAAUAGCCUAUCUUCCCUAAAUGCUUACUUGGAGUCAGUAAUGGGCUGGAUGAGGAAAAACAAACUGAGGUUGAAUACAAGGAAGAUGACUGGAAGAUAGGAAGUGGCUUAGAUCUGUCUGUUCUGGAAGGGGUUACACUCCCCCAGAAAGAGUAGAGUUUUCCAGCCAAUUAAAAAUGAAGACCUUUCUAAGCCAAUGCACACACUGGAGCAGCUCUUCACUCCAACCCUGAUAUCUCAACUGCCUUCAAUCAAAAAAAAUCUCAGUCAUCGACUCUGAUUCCAAAAAAGGUGUUUUCUACCUAAGCCUGAACAGGGACUUCCAGUCCAAGACAUGGAUGAUUAUGAACUCAACAGAGCCUCCAGAGACUGCUCCGCUCCCAAAAAAGGGAGACCAGAGAAGCCACACCAACAUCACCCUUCAAUCCUGAACAUGAGGUAGAUCAUGAUCUGCUUCACUUGGAAGGCGAUACCAUCACCCCUAGCUGCUCUCCUCAACACUGACCUCCUCCGGACUGAAGAGCCUCUCCUAUACGAUACUGACGAUACAGAAGAGAGUCUACAUGAUACCAAUACUCUCCGGGUGUCAGAGAAUCUCCUUGCCGUCGGUACUCUCCAAAACACUCAUCGGAUUGGGUAUAUUGUGACUGAGAAAGUUGACAUUGAGAUGACUCUACAUCUGAUCAUGCCUGAUCAUUACGCUUACUUCUUCGACAACAGAUAUGGCAUUGAUCAUAGGAAAAACUAUCUCCAGCCUUGCUCUUGGGCUUCACAUCAACACCAAUCUCUGGGGAGAUUGGACCAUCCAGACUCUUGGUCCCGAUCACACUCUCCUCAACACUGCAGUACUUGGUCUCAGUCAAGAGAGAAGAGAACUCAACCAUGUAAGCAGCCGGAUGUUGACUCUCUACCACUGGAUUCCUUGACUGAAGAAUCUGCCUCAGAGGACGAUGCAGAAACAUCCCUGAACAUUGCAUCAGGUUCCACCUUCAGAUCUAAUGGGAGAUCCAAAGCCUCUGUCUCCAUCAGAGUACCUGAAGCUCUUCACUGACCAAGUGGUCCAUAUGGCUAACUCUUUAGGUAUCCAGAUGAACAAACCUCCUAAAUCUUCUCCUGAUCCCAUUUUGGGGCCAAUUGAUGCGGACACUUGGCACUCUAACUUCCUACCACUGAACUCUGCUUGAAUGGACAUUGUCAAAGCUUGCUGGGGGAAACCUGCAUCGUUGCCACCUACUUCUAGGAAGCUGGAAGGUUUUUACAAGGUUCAAGCUAGGGACAGUCAGUUCCUUCUGCACCAUCCUACUCCUAACUCCAUGACAGUUGAAACUGCUCAGUUCCAAUCCAAGAACAGAAUCCUUUUGGCGCUGACAGUAUGAUUCAGUCAAUAUCUGUUGUGGUAGCUCUGCACGAGCACACGUGGAUGUGUUCAACUAGCUUGGCACCUGAAACAAGAACAAGAAUAGUGUCGUGGGCAUGCUGGAAGAGUCCGAGGAGGAGUUGGAAGUGGAGACAGAGCUGAGAGCAGAGGAGGGUGGGCAAGGACCAGAAGUUGCAAAGGAGAGUGGGUCCGACGCACAAGGAGUCAAAGAUGAGUUAGAGCUGGGUGAGGCAGCUCUUGUGGAGGAGGCAUGUCCAGUCUCAGCUGUGGAGAGGCGCCGGACCACGAGACAGCAAGAGUUAAGGAGCCGCGCGCGUAGAAGAACAGGCAAAGGUGCUGACUCAGCAACUCUUAAUUCACAGCACUGGGGGUCAGCCUACAUAAGAUGCUACCCUGCUGAUAGCAACAAGAGUUUCCUGUGAGCUAAUCGGCUGUGUUUGUGUAUUAUUUGGACUGUGUUUGGAGCCUGCACUUUGUUGACCUUGCCUGUGGAUUUGGCUUUGGACUCUGUUGGAUUGAUUCGGACUGGACCUGGUUUGGAGAAUGGAUUCCUGUUAGAUUUCGCUCUUCUGCUUCUGCCUCUGUUGUGCUUCGUCUGGCUAGCCUGACAGAUUUACGACAAAGAGAGAACUUGCCUCUUGAUGGCCAGGCUCUUGUUGGAAAGGAUACAAAACGGAAAGGAUACACAAACUGAGAAAGACAGGGAAAUCUAUGAACUCUCAGCAAGCUGCCUACAAUUU